Molecule: small nucleolar RNA, 85 nt
Organism: Juglans regia (Persian walnut)
Lineage: Eukaryota; Viridiplantae; Streptophyta; Magnoliopsida; Fagales; Juglandaceae
Product: small nucleolar RNA snoR128
Exons: 1
Source: RefSeq, a predicted model, not a curated record
UUGCUGUGAUGAAGGAUAAAACAAUACGAAACUUUCUGGAUAUGGUUGGUUGAUGAAAGUCAAUCCUGAGCGGUUACCUGAGCAA